CCUACGGGAGGCUGCAGUGGGGAAUAUUGGACAAUGGGGGGAACCCUGAUCCAGCCAUGCCGCGUGUGUGAAGAAGGCCCUCGGGUUGUAAAGCACUUUCAGUGAGGAAGAACGCCUGGUGGUUAAUACCCAUCAGGAAAGACAUCACUCACAGAAGAAGCACCGGCUAACUCCGUGCCAGCAGCCGCGGUAAUACGGAGGGUGCGAGCGUUAAUCGGAAUUACUGGGCGUAAAGCGCGCGUAGGUGGCUUGAUAAGCCGGUUGUGAAAGCCCCGGGCUCAACCUGGGAACGGCAUCCGGAACUGUCAAGCUAGAGUGCAGGAGAGGAAGGUAGAAUUCCCGGUGUAGCGGUGAAAUGCGUAGAGAUAGGGAGGAAUACCAGUGGCGAAGGCGGCCUUCUGGACUGACACUGACACUGAGGUGCGAAAGCGUGGGUAGCAAACAGGAUUAGAUACCCCAGUAGUC
Molecule: ribosomal RNA, 465 nt
Filed under: Vreelandella stevensii
Lineage: Bacteria; Pseudomonadati; Pseudomonadota; Gammaproteobacteria; Oceanospirillales; Halomonadaceae
Description: partial 16S ribosomal RNA
Rfam family: Bacterial small subunit ribosomal RNA
Source: RNAcentral